UACGUAGGGCGCAAGCGUUGUCCGGAAUUAUUGGGCGUAAAGAGCUCGUAGGCGGUUUGUCGCGUCUGCUGUGAAAACUCGAGGCUCAACCUCGGGCUUGCAGUGGGUACGGGCAGACUAGAGUGCGGUAGGGGAGACUGGAAUUCCUGGUGUAGCGGUGAAAUGCGCAGAUAUCAGGAGGAACACCGGUGGCGAAGGCGGGUCUCUGGGCCGUAACUGACGCUGAGGAGCGAAAGCGUGGGGAGCGAACAGG
This 253-nucleotide ribosomal RNA is filed under the name uncultured bacterium. RNAcentral describes it as "partial 16S ribosomal RNA". It matches the Rfam family "Bacterial small subunit ribosomal RNA", at positions 524 to 776 of the family's 1533-position model. The record is from RNAcentral.